RNAcentral lists this ribosomal RNA (275 nucleotides) under uncultured bacterium. Its description in RNAcentral is "partial 16S ribosomal RNA". It matches the Rfam family "Bacterial small subunit ribosomal RNA", at positions 28 to 300 of the family's 1533-position model. The record is from RNAcentral.
GACGAACGCUGGCGGCGUGCUUAACACAUGCAAGUCGAGCGGUAAGGCCCUUUCGGGGGUACGACGAGCGGCGAACGGGUGAGUAACACGUGGGUGACCUGCCCUUAGCUCUGGGAGUAAGCCUGGGAAACGUGGGUCUAAUACCGGAUAUGACUCCAUGACGCAUGUUGUGGGGUGGAAAGCCUUGUGCGGCUAGGGAGUGGGCCCGCGGCCUAUCAGCUUGUUGGUGGGGUGAUGGCCUACCAAGGCGACGACGGGUAGCCGGCCUGAGAGGG